UAAAACCAAAGGCAUUUAACUUAUUUAAAUGAUAAAAUAAAAUGAUACAAAAAGUUAAUGGAAAUAAACCAAUAAAGACCACAAACACAAAGGAGAUAUCAAAACCAACAACAAAUUAAUGUCCAAUUUAUUCAAAACCAAUACGAAAGAAGUUUAUAAUUUUCAUAAAAUAGAAUUAAAUCAAACAUUUAAAAUUUCACUUUCAACAUAAAUUAGAUAAAUUAAUUUUGUAUUUUGAAAUACUC
This 245-nucleotide long non-coding RNA is filed under the name Prunus persica (peach). Its description in RNAcentral is "long non-coding RNA (PPER_LNC007130)". The record is from RNAcentral. Lineage: Eukaryota; Viridiplantae; Streptophyta; Magnoliopsida; Rosales; Rosaceae.